GCCCCCCCCGCCCCCCCCCUCCCCCGCAGUCGCGGCGCGGAGUAAGCGGGCGCAGCUCGCAGCUAGGGCUCUCGAUGCGCCCGUGUCCAUCGGUCGAGCCGCGGGGGCGGCGCUACGCGUAGCCUGGAGCUCGCGACCUCGCCCCUUCGCUGCAGGUCCGACCCGCCCGCUACCGCUGCCUCUUCCCCCGGGGCGGCGUAGGGGGCGAGGCCGCCAAGGCAGGCGUCGCCACCAACAUGAAGGACAACAUCCCGCUGCAGCCCAUGCGCCAGAAGAAGCAGAUGAACAGCAGGCCCCGCGCUGGGAUUGUGACCAGAUCCACGUUGAUGACGUCUCAUCAGAUGACAAUGGGCAAGAUUUAAGAACCUACAACUUCUCCACCGAUGGCUUCCACAGUGCAGCCCUGGGGGCUGGCCUGUGCCUGAGCACCGGGGUGCACGGCGGCGUGGACUGGAUGAGGAAGCUGGCCUUCCGCUACCGGGUGAAGGAGAUGUAUAACACCUACCGGGACAACGUGGGCAGAUUGAUAGGAGCUCCCAAAAGAGAGACUUGGCUACAGCUCUGAGCAGAGCUGGAGGCGCUGACAGACCUCUGGCUCAUGCACUUUCUGAAGGCACUAAACCUCAUCAACUCCCGGCAAGUAGGAGCCCUGUUUCAUUCUGCACCACUGAGCUUUCCAGGAGACUGGUGGCUCCACCUCCCACACAUAGGAGAGCUG
RNAcentral lists this long non-coding RNA (718 nucleotides) under Ictidomys tridecemlineatus (thirteen-lined ground squirrel). RNAcentral describes it as "lncRNA (ENSSTOG00000032948.1)". Lineage: Eukaryota; Metazoa; Chordata; Mammalia; Rodentia; Sciuridae. The record is from RNAcentral.